RNAcentral lists this ribosomal RNA (2734 nucleotides) under Escherichia coli. RNAcentral's name for it is "partial 23S ribosomal RNA". It matches the Rfam family "Bacterial large subunit ribosomal RNA". The record is from RNAcentral. Lineage: Bacteria; Pseudomonadati; Pseudomonadota; Gammaproteobacteria; Enterobacterales; Enterobacteriaceae.
CAUAGGUUAAUGAGGCGAACCGGGGGAACUGAAACAUCUAAGUACCCCGAGGAAAAGAAAUCAACCGAGAUUCCCCCAGUAGCGGCGAGCGAACGGGGAGGAGCCCAGAGCCUGAAUCAGUGUGUGUGUUAGUGGAAGCGUCUGGAAAGGCGCGCGAUACAGGGUGACAGCCCCGUACACAAAAAUGCACAUGCUGUGAGCUCGAUGAGUAGGGCGGGACACGUGGUAUCCUGUCUGAAUAUGGGGGGACCAUCCUCCAAGGCUAAAUACUCCUGACUGACCGAUAGUGAACCAGUACCGUGAGGGAAAGGCGAAAAGAACCCCGGCGAGGGGAGUGAAAAAGAACCUGAAACCGUGUACGUACAAGCAGUGGGAGCACGCUUAGGCGUGUGACUGCGUACCUUUUGUAUAAUGGGUCAGCGACUUAUAUUCUGUAGCAAGGUUAACCGAAUAGGGGAGCCGAAGGGAAACCGAGUCUUAACUGGGCGUUAAGUUGCAGGGUAUAGACCCGAAACCCGGUGAUCUAGCCAUGGGCAGGUUGAAGGUUGGGUAACACUAACUGGAGGACCGAACCGACUAAUGUUGAAAAAUUAGCGGAUGACUUGUGGCUGGGGGUGAAAGGCCAAUCAAACCGGGAGAUAGCUGGUUCUCCCCGAAAGCUAUUUAGGUAGCGCCUCGUGAAUUCAUCUCCGGGGGUAGAGCACUGUUUCGGCAAGGGGGUCAUCCCGACUUACCAACCCGAUGCAAACUGCGAAUACCGGAGAAUGUUAUCACGGGAGACACACGGCGGGUGCUAACGUCCGUCGUGAAGAGGGAAACAACCCAGACCGCCAGCUAAGGUCCCAAAGUCAUGGUUAAGUGGGAAACGAUGUGGGAAGGCCCAGACAGCCAGGAUGUUGGCUUAGAAGCAGCCAUCAUUUAAAGAAAGCGUAAUAGCUCACUGGUCGAGUCGGCCUGCGCGGAAGAUGUAACGGGGCUAAACCAUGCACCGAAGCUGCGGCAGCGACGCUUAUGCGUUGUUGGGUAGGGGAGCGUUCUGUAAGCCUGUGAAGGUGUGCUGUGAGGCAUGCUGGAGGUAUCAGAAGUGCGAAUGCUGACAUAAGUAACGAUAAAGCGGGUGAAAAGCCCGCUCGCCGGAAGACCAAGGGUUCCUGUCCAACGUUAAUCGGGGCAGGGUGAGUCGACCCCUAAGGCGAGGCCGAAAGGCGUAGUCGAUGGGAAACAGGUUAAUAUUCCUGUACUUGGUGUUACUGCGAAGGGGGGACGGAGAAGGCUAUGUUGGCCGGGCGACGGUUGUCCCGGUUUAAGCGUGUAGGCUGGUUUUCCAGGCAAAUCCGGAAAAUCAAGGCUGAGGCGUGAUGACGAGGCACUACGGUGCUGAAGCAACAAAUGCCCUGCUUCCAGGAAAAGCCUCUAAGCAUCAGGUAACAUCAAAUCGUACCCCAAACCGACACAGGUGGUCAGGUAGAGAAUACCAAGGCGCUUGAGAGAACUCGGGUGAAGGAACUAGGCAAAAUGGUGCCGUAACUUCGGGAGAAGGCACGCUGAUAUGUAGGUGAAGCGACUUGCUCGUGGAGCUGAAAUCAGUCGAAGAUACCAGCUGGCUGCAACUGUUUAUUAAAAACACAGCACUGUGCAAACACGAAAGUGGACGUAUACGGUGUGACGCCUGCCCGGUGCCGGAAGGUUAAUUGAUGGGGUCAGCGCAAGCGAAGCUCUUGAUCGAAGCCCCGGUAAACGGCGGCCGUAACUAUAACGGUCCUAAGGUAGCGAAAUUCCUUGUCGGGUAAGUUCCGACCUGCACGAAUGGCGUAAUGAUGGCCAGGCUGUCUCCACCCGAGACUCAGUGAAAUUGAACUCGCUGUGAAGAUGCAGUGUACCCGCGGCAAGACGGAAAGACCCCGUGAACCUUUACUAUAGCUUGACACUGAACAUUGAGCCUUGAUGUGUAGGAUAGGUGGGAGGCUUUGAAGUGUGGACGCCAGUCUGCAUGGAGCCGGCCUUGAAAUACCACCCUUUAAUGUUUGAUGUUCUAACGUUGACCCGUAAUCCGGGUUGCGGACAGUGUCUGGUGGGUAGUUUGACUGGGGCGGUCUCCUCCUAAAGAGUAACGGAGGAGCACGAAGGUUGGCUAAUCCUGGUCGGACAUCAGGAGGUUAGUGCAAUGGCAUAAGCCAGCUUGACUGCGAGCGUGACGGCGCGAGCAGGUGCGAAAGCAGGUCAUAGUGAUCCGGUGGUUCUGAAUGGAAGGGCCAUCGCUCAACGGAUAAAAGGUACUCCGGGGAUAACAGGCUGAUACCGCCCAAGAGUUCAUAUCGACGGCGGUGUUUGGCACCUCGAUGUCGGCUCAUCACAUCCUGGGGCUGAAGUAGGUCCCAAGGGUAUGGCUGUUCGCCAUUUAAAGUGGUACGCGAGCUGGGUUUAGAACGUCGUGAGACAGUUCGGUCCCUAUCUGCCGUGGGCGCUGGAGAACUGAGGGGGGCUGCUCCUAGUACGAGAGGACCGGAGUGGACGCAUCACUGGUGUUCGGGUUGUCAUGCCAAUGGCACUGCCCGGUAGCUAAAUGCGGAAGAGAUAAGUGCUGAAAGCAUCUAAGCACGAAACUUGCCCCGAGAUGAGUUCUCCCUGACUCCUUGAGAGUCCUGAAGGAACGUUGAAGACGACGACGUUGAUAGGCCGGGUGUGUAAGCGCAGCGAUGCGUUGAGCUAACCGGUACUAAUGAACCGUGAGGCU